RNAcentral lists this ribosomal RNA (309 nucleotides) under Triticum aestivum (bread wheat). Its description in RNAcentral is "partial small subunit ribosomal RNA". The record is from RNAcentral. Lineage: Eukaryota; Viridiplantae; Streptophyta; Magnoliopsida; Poales; Poaceae.
AUGCAAGUAGAUCAUGAAAAGAAUGCUUUAGGUGAUAGUUAUAUUUUUGAAUUCGUUCAUGAUGCUACUGAAAAUUAUUAUGAGAGAGGAACAUGUGCUUUUACAUAUUGCAAUAAAAUCAAGUUUCCUCUCUAUGUGUUGACAUUUUUUAAGUUGCACAUGUUUUGCCUUCAUAUGCAAGUUGAUUCUUGUUCCCAUAAGUUGUUUUCUCACAAAAUCCCUAUGCAUAGGAAGUGGGCUAGGCUUAAAUGUGCUUGUCAUAUGCUUCAUGAUGCUCCCGUUAUGUUUCAAUUCUUAUCUUUUAUGUGA